RNAcentral lists this transfer RNA (82 nucleotides) under Dermacentor silvarum. RNAcentral's name for it is "transfer RNA serine (anticodon AGA)". It matches the Rfam family "tRNA". Rfam says of the family: Transfer RNA (tRNA) molecules are approximately 80 nucleotides in length. Their secondary structure includes four short double-helical elements and three loops (D, anti-codon, and T loops). Further hydrogen bonds mediate the characteristic L-shaped molecular structure. tRNAs have two regions of fundamental functional importance: the anti-codon, which is responsible for specific mRNA codon recognition, and the 3' end, to which the tRNAs corresponding amino acid is attached (by aminoacyl-tRNA synthetases). tRNAs cope with the degeneracy of the genetic code in two manners: having more than one tRNA (with a specific anti-codon) for a particular amino acid; and 'wobble' base-pairing, i.e. permitting non-standard base-pairing at the 3rd anti-codon position. The record is from RNAcentral. Lineage: Eukaryota; Metazoa; Arthropoda; Arachnida; Ixodida; Ixodidae.
GCAGUCGUGGCCGAGCGGUUAAGGCGAUGGACAAGAAUUCCAAUGGGGUCUCCCCGCACAGGUUCAAAUCCUGUCGACUGCG